RNAcentral lists this ribosomal RNA (546 nucleotides) under uncultured bacterium. RNAcentral describes it as "bacterial SSU rRNA". It matches the Rfam family "Bacterial small subunit ribosomal RNA", at positions 775 to 1320 of the family's 1533-position model. The record is from RNAcentral.
AGUCAAUAGAUACCCGGGUAGUCCAUGCCGUAAACGAUGAUUGCUAGGUGUGGGGGGUCUGACCCCUUCCGUGCCGGAGUUAAACACAAAUAAGCAAUCCACCUGGGGAGUACGGCCGCAAGGUUGAAACUCAAAGGAAUUGACGGGGGCCCGCACAAGCAGUGGAGUAUGUGGUUUAAUUCGAAGCAACGCGAAGAACCUUACCAGGUCUUGACAUCCACCGAAUCCUGUAGAGAUACGGGAGUGCCCUUCGGGGAACGGUGAGACAGGUGGUGCAUGGUUGUCGUCAGCUCGUGUCGUGAGAUGUUGGGUUAAGUCCCGCAACGAGCGCAACCCUUGUGAAUAGUUGCUACGAAAGAGCACUCUAUUCAGACCGCCGUUGACAAAACGGAGGAAGGUGGGGAUGACGUCAAAUCAUCAUGCCCCUUACGACCUGGGCUACACACGCACUACAAUGGUCGUCAACAGAGGGAAGCAAGACCGCGAGGUGGAGCGAACCCCUAAAAACCGAUCUCAGUUCAGAUUGCAGGCUGAAACUCGCCUGCA